UCGGGUAUUUAUUUUCCCUGCGCGUUAAAUUUUCUUCUUCGGCCGAUUCCGAUAAAUUGAUUAGUUACUUAGGUUCUCAGUAAGUUGAGAGAUGGAAUUGCAUCACCUGUUCAAAGACAAGAGAUUCUGGUUUUCGUCUAUCUUAAUUGCUUGGGCUGCUGGUCUCCAGGGUCAUAUGAUGUGGUUACAAAGGCAAGAUAAUUUCAAGAAGAAAUUUGGAGAGCAAAAUCAAAAUGUUGAUGAGGAUAAUAAUAAAGUUAAGGACAAGGAGGAGAAAGUUACAUUUGAUUUCUAAUAGCCUCUCCCCAAUUUGGGUUUACUGGGUAUGUCUUGUGUUCAAUAUGAUAAAUGUGGGUUCAAUACAUUAGAUUUUUAAGAAUGUUGUUACUUAGUCUAUAAUUGUUGAUCUCCUCAAAAUCAUGCAAAUGGAACACUAGAAUGAUAUUCAAUGCACACUUUUGAUUAGACUUGUUAUGGAUAGCAA
This is a long non-coding RNA of Papaver somniferum (opium poppy), 484 nucleotides long. RefSeq lists it as uncharacterized. The record is from RefSeq and is a predicted model, not a curated record. The transcript has 2 exons. NCBI's taxonomy places the organism in Eukaryota, Viridiplantae, Streptophyta, Magnoliopsida, Ranunculales, Papaveraceae.